RNAcentral lists this long non-coding RNA (212 nucleotides) under Elaeis guineensis (African oil palm). RNAcentral describes it as "long non-coding RNA (EGUI_LNC061833)". The record is from RNAcentral. Lineage: Eukaryota; Viridiplantae; Streptophyta; Magnoliopsida; Arecales; Arecaceae.
CCAUGUACCCUGAAUAUGUUCAUGAGUAUGGAAUCAUGUCAAACUCAAACACAUAUUCAUAUCGAUUCUUAAUUAACCAAUGAUGACUCUAAUAAAGAAGUAUUAAAAUUUUUUUCUAAUCUCCAUCCUGCUUUUGGCCAAAAGACUUUUCUCAAGUCAUCUAGGAUUGAGAAUACACAGAUUACGAUCUCCUCUUACUAGGAGUGAUCGAU